GAUGAAGAACGUAGCGAAAUGCGAUAAGUAGUGUGAAUUGCAGAAUUCAGUGAAUCAUCGAAUCUUUGAACGCACAUUGCGCCCCUUGGUAUUCCAUGGGGCAUGCCUGUUCGAGCGUCAUUUGUACCUUCAAGCUCUGCUUGGUGUUGGGUGAUUGUCUAUCUUUAUAGACUCGCCUUAAAGUCAUUGGCAGCCGGCAUAUUGGCCUGGGAGCGCAGCACAAGUCGCGCUUCUUGUCAUGAAUGUUGGCGUCCAGUAAGUCUACAUAUUUUGCUCUUGACCUCGGAUCAGGUAGGGAUACCCGCUGAACUUAAGCAUAUCAAUAAGCGGAGA
This 333-nucleotide unclassified non-coding RNA is filed under the name soil metagenome. Its description in RNAcentral is "partial contains 5.8S ribosomal RNA, internal transcribed spacer 2, and large subunit ribosomal RNA". The stretch from base 1 to 120 matches the Rfam family "5.8S ribosomal RNA", at positions 35 to 154 of the family's 154-position model. The record is from RNAcentral.